Molecule: ribosomal RNA, 440 nt
Filed under: uncultured bacterium
Lineage: Bacteria
Description: partial 16S ribosomal RNA
Rfam family: Bacterial small subunit ribosomal RNA
Source: RNAcentral
CCUACGGGAGGCUGCAGUGGGGAAUAUUGCACAAUGGGGUAAACCCUGAUGCAGCGACGCCGCGUGAGCGAUGCAGUAUUUCGGUAUGUAAAGCUCUGUCAGCCGGGAAGAAAAUGACGGUACCUGACUAAGAAGCCCCGGCUAACUACGUGCCAGCAGCCGCGGUAAUACGUAGGGGGCAAGCGUUAUCCGGAUUUACUGGGUGUAAAGGGAGCGUAGACGGCGCUGCAAGCCAGAUGUGAAAGCCCGGUGCUCAACCCCGGGACUGCAUUUGGAACGGUAUAGCUGGAGUGUCGGAGAGGCAGGCGGAAGUCCUAGUGUAGCGGUGAAAUGCGUAGAUAUUAGGAGGAACACCAGUGGCGAAGGCGGCCUGCUGGACGAUGACUGACGUUGAGGCUCGAAAGCGUGGGGAGCAAACAGGAUUAGAUACCCUUGUAGUC